RNAcentral lists this ribosomal RNA (1722 nucleotides) under Endocincta sp. UJ-2011-nsp. RNAcentral describes it as "SSU rRNA". It matches the Rfam family "Eukaryotic small subunit ribosomal RNA". The record is from RNAcentral. Lineage: Eukaryota; Metazoa; Xenacoelomorpha; Acoela; Solenofilomorphidae.
AUGCACGUAUAAGUUCAGCUCACGAAUAGCGAAACCGCGAAUGGCUCAGUAAAUCAGUCAUGAUUUAUGUGACAGUAAGAUUGCUACUUGGAUAACUGUGGUAACUCUAGAGCUAAUACAUGCCCGAUAGCUUCCGUUGACCUGUAAUGGGUUGCGAUGCGUGCUUUUAUUAGUUUUCAAGUCCAUCAAGCGUCUUGUCGUUAGUUCGGCAUCUCUGCUAGGCAUGAUGAUCUCUACUUAACUGCAGGACCUGGAGUUAACGCUUCAGGCGUGUCAUUCAAGUGUCUGCCCUAUCAAGUCAGUUGGUAGUGUAACGGACUACCAAGCUAACGACGGGUAACGGGGAAUCAGGGUUCGAUUCCGGAGAGGGAGCCUGAGAAACGGCUACCACAUCUAAGGAAGGCAGCAGCCGCGCAAAUUACCCGAAUCUUGGAGCGAGGAGGUAGUGACGAAAUAUAACAAUACGGGGCCUACGGGUCUCGUCAUUGGAUUGAGCAUGACGUAAACACUUAUGCGAUAUCUAGUAGAGGGCAAGUCUGGUGCCAGCAGCCGCGGUAAUUCCAGCUCUACAAGCGUAUACUAGUAUUGCUGCGGUUAAAAAGCUCGUAGUUUGACAUGUAACAGCAGUAGUGACAGUGGACCCGGUGUAAUACUGCCUCCCUGUAGUGCGGCUGUUCCCCCUCUAGUGGCGCUACUUGCACUUCAUUGUGUGAGUUUCAGAUCUGGAGUUAUGGUAUCCUGAAUAAAUUAGAGUGUUCAAAGCAGAUGUCAUGAAUACUGAAGCACGGAAUAGUAUUUGGGGCUGCGCCCUCAAAAACUGGUCUUCAUGGUGUGCGGAAAUUGGUUAAAAGGGACAGACGGGGGCAUUCGUAUUGUCACGUUAGAGGUGAAAUUCUUGGAUCGUGACAAGACGCUCGAUUGCGAAAGCAUUUGCCAAGAAUGUUUUCAUUAAUCAAGAACGAAAGUUAGAGUAUCGAAGAGGAUUAGAUACCCUCGUAGUUCUAACCAUAAACUGUGCCAACUUGCUUUCAGUCGAUGUUGCUUUUGACACGACUGGCGGCAACGGGAAACCUAAGUGUUUGGGUUCCGGGGGAAGUAUGGUUGCAAAACUGAAACUUAAAGGAAUUGACGGAAGGGCACCACCAGGAGUGGAGCCUGCGGCUUAAUUUGACUCAACACGGGAAAACUCACAAGGUCCAGACAUAGUAAGGAUUGACAGACUGUAGUUCUUUCUUGAUCCUAUGGUUGGUGGUGCAUGGCCGUUCUUAGUUGGUGGAGUGAUUUGUCAGGUUAAUUCUGAUAACGAACGAGACCUCAACCUGCUAACUAGCCUAACAAACUUCGGUUAUGAUAUGCUUCUUAGAGGGACGAGGUUUUUUCAAGGAUCAUGAAGAGAGGUCAUAACAGGUCUGUGAUGCCCUUAGACGUCCUGGGCUGCACGCGCGCUACAAUGAGUGCAGCAGCAUGUUUUUACCUGGUCCGAAGCGGUCCAGGCAAUCACCGAAUUGCACUCGUGAUUGGGAUAGAUUCUCGUACAUUUGAGUCUUGAACGAGGAAUUCCUAGUAAGCGCAUGUCAUUAGCAUGCGUUGAUUACGUCCCUGCCCUUUGUACACACCGCCCGUCGCUACUACCGAUUGGAUGCCAAAGCGAACAACACUGACUCCGAAGUUGGGGCGCGCAAGCGCCUGCUAUGGACAAAGAACCGUCAGCUUUGAUAUCUA